Onthophagus taurus is the source of this 1092-nucleotide non-coding RNA. The record is from RefSeq and is a predicted model, not a curated record. Lineage: Eukaryota; Metazoa; Arthropoda; Insecta; Coleoptera; Scarabaeidae.
AUUAUUAUAAAUUUUAUAAAAAAGUUUACCAAGAAAAAAAAUCGGUAGAUGGAGCUACUUGCAUUUACGUCAAAAUAAUCAACGUAACCUCAAAAAGUUUAAUUUUGCAUAAAUUUAAUGUUUUAUUUUUAUUGAAGUAGUUGAAAGGUUAAAUAUACGUAUUAGAAUGGUACGUAUAUUAGAUUAUAUAGAAGAAGAAAUAGAAUCAUUUGAGAUUCUUGUAUUGUUGAUUACGUUAAGAGGCAAGGGUUGAUACGUUAAGAGGUAAAUUAAAUGAUGUUGUAUAAUAGGAGCUUUAAUAUAGAAUUCGUUUGAAGAUUUGAUUAAAUUAAUUGAAAGAAACAGCUUAAUUUGAGGUAUUUAUACAAAUUCUCUUUAAAACCUUAAAAAUAAUUUUUAGGUUGAGACCAACUUCAUUCCUAUUCAAAAUCAUACCCAAUUUACUUAAUUAUUCUAAUAAAGCUGAAUCAAAUUAAUUUCGAUUAAAAAAUAAUAAUAAUUAAUUAGAUUUUAAUAAAAAAAAGUUUACAAAAUAAGGCCGGUAGAUGGAGUCACUUACAUUUACGUCAAAAUAAUCAACAUAACCUCAUUCAAAGCUUAGAUUUGCAAUAAUAAUUUUAGUUACUAUUUUAAAUUAAAUUUGGUUUUAUUCUCGAUUAAUUUCAUGAAAAAGUAUGAAUGAAUAUAAUAGUGAUAGUGCUUAAAAAUGUUUUAUUGGAAAACGGGUGUACCAUCGAUAGGGAUUCUUAACCCAUUACGUAGAGCAAUAUCCGACGAUAACAUGGAGGAAAUAAUGAAACAUCUUAACACAGAUUAUUACAAAUUAAAUCGUGGAGACGAAGCUGGAAAUAAAGCAAGUUUAAACGCUUUAAAAUAUUAUCUUUAGUUAAAAGAUGUUCCUAUUAAUGUGCAAAAUCAUUAUGGAAGAAGUAUUUGGGGUCAUUGUAUUGUGGAUUCCAUUAAGAGGCAACGGUUGAAACUUAAAGAGGUAAAUUAAAUGAUGUUGUAUAAAAGGAGCUUUAAUAUAGAAUUUAUUUGAAGAUUUGAUUAAAUCAAUUGAGGGGAACAGCUUCGUUUGAGGGAUCUUCAUUC